Molecule: long non-coding RNA, 1073 nt
Organism: Argentina anserina (silverweed cinquefoil)
Lineage: Eukaryota; Viridiplantae; Streptophyta; Magnoliopsida; Rosales; Rosaceae
Exons: 3
Source: RefSeq, a predicted model, not a curated record
CAGCUUUUAAUUUGGCAUUUUUUGGUUGGUACUAGUUUAAGUCAUGUCAAUUGAGACAUAUUUGAUUUGGUGCUGCAUCUUCAGUGCCUGGAAGAAAAUAUGGAGCACAAUGCUCAAUCUUGGUAUUGAUCUAAUUGCUGUAUCACUCUACCAGAUGGAUUUGGACAUGACUCAGUUCUUGUUGAGAUCUUAUUUCCGAAUUCGACUGCAGAGAAGGCCUUUUUGAAAACGUGACGGUAGCUGCUAUAUUAGUUUGUAUUCUUUUGGUGAAAGCUUAUGCUUGAGGUUCGUUGUGGUUGGUCUUUAUUUUGGUAGCAGCUGUCUUGUUGAUUUGGAAAAACAUCUUGAAGAGUGUUCUGUCGAAAUUGGCUAAAUCAUCUAUGCCUUCUCUGUUUGAAUGUGUGUGUCUAUCAGGUUCUUUUUCUAUAUGCGCUUUAGUCUAUGCUUAGAUUCUUUCUGCUCUGAGAAAUAUGGUCCUGUGGUACCUUUCUUAGACUUUACUUUACAGGCUUAGAUUUAUGAAUUAUGUUCAGUUCAAAAUAUCCGUGUUACUGCAGUUCCAACUUAUCUAGUACCUAGGAAAAAUCGGUGUUACGGUAUGGAUCAUACAGUGCAUUGGCAUGAGGGGAGGGAUAGAACCAGUUCCAAGCUACUGCGUGGGAAUAGAUAUGUUCAUUAAAGCCUUUUUGACAUGUUCAUCCAUGAAACUAAACAUAUAGUGAUUUAUAUCAAUGCUUUUGGAAAUUUUUGGUUUAUAUUUAAUUACCCUCUGAAGAAGAAUGCAUGACUAGUUUGAAAACAUUGUAUGCCAAACUCAUGUCAGUAGUUUUUAUUUUCUUCAUCUCGUAUAUAGCCCUUUCUUUAAGGUCACUCCUAGUGCUGAACUGCCAACAUAAACCUCACUGCAGAAUCGCUAUAAGUGUUUAUCUGUAGAUCGAGCAUAUCUUUGAAACUUUUAACAGAUCUGAGUUCUGGAUUUUGAUACAUUCUCAACAGAUUUGUCUUAGCAAAACCUCAAUUAGACACGUUUGUUCACUUUGUUGUGUGCAAAACCAACUAAUAUCUUGGACAUA